Molecule: long non-coding RNA, 787 nt
Organism: Gadus macrocephalus (Pacific cod)
Lineage: Eukaryota; Metazoa; Chordata; Actinopteri; Gadiformes; Gadidae
Exons: 2
Source: RefSeq, a predicted model, not a curated record
CGCUGCCUUUGUCUUGACGUGCGGUUUGUGCACGUGCCUGUGUGUGUGUGUGUGCGUUUCCGUGUAUGCAUGUCUGCAGGCUGCUUGGCACACAUGCUUGGCACACAUGACUAACUGGUGCGACAGGCCUGCUUUUAUAGUAGUCAGAUUUAUUUAUUUAGCUAACUAUCAACCUUCCUCACACAAAUAUGAACGAAAAUGGUUGAAUAUGUGCUUUUUGAGCAUUUUGUUUCUAUGUAGUUGGCCUUGCGUAUGAUUCCCAUGCUGGGGAAAAGUGUGCGUCUGAAAGCAGUGGUGGUUGAGUGGGCAGCCCCCUGCCUCCCCCCCCCGGCGCGCGGUGCAGACAGAUGGCUGUGGCGGCGGCAGCAGCCCCUCGUGUACUAACAGGAGUUGGGCUCCACUUCCCCAUUCCAUCUUGACGUUGCUCAAUCCAGUGCGGCGCUGGAUGCCACCGGAGAGCUGGAAGCGCGGCAUUCAUUAACAGCCUAGCGUGCGGGGGAGGGGGAGGCAGAGCAACGCGGGGCUUCCCCGUAUUUACAGCAACGGCACUUUUAUAGGCCUUCUUCUUUGGCGAAAUGACAUGGUUGUUCGGCUACGUUUUUUUAUGUCGAGAGGGCGAGGAACGUACGUGUGUGCGAGCGCGCGCACACACACACACACACACACACACACACACACACACACACACACACACACACACACACACACACACACACACACACACACACACACACACACACACACACACACACACACACACACACACACACACACACACCAGACACAC